GGGGGCCCGCACAAGCGGCGGAGCAUGCGGAUUAAUUCGAUGCAACGCGAAGAACCUUACCAAGGCUUGACAUGAACCGGAAAUACCUGGAAACAGGUGCCCCGCUUGCGGUCGGUUUACAGGUGGUGCAUGGUUGUCGUCAGCUCGCGUCGUGAGAUGUUGGGUUAAGUCCCGCAACGAGCGCAACCCUCGUUCUAUGUUGCCAGCGCGUAAUGGCGGGAACUCAUGGGAGACUGCCGGGGUCAACUCGGAGGAAGGUGGGGACGACGUCAAAUCAUCAUGCCCCUUAUGACCUGGGCUACACACGUGCUACAAUGGACGGUACAAAGGGCUGCAAACCCGCGAGGGGGAGCCAAUCCCAGAAAACCGUUCUCAGUUCGGAUUGCAGGCUGCAACUCGCCUGCAUGAAGCCGGAAUCGCUAGUAAUCGUGGAUCAGCAUGCCACGGUGAAUACGUUCCCGGGCCUUGUACACACCGCCCGUCACACCACGAGAGUUUGUAACACCCGAAGUCGGUGAGGUAACCACUUGUGGAGCCAGCCGCCGAAGGUGGGACAGAUGAUUGGGGUGAAGUCGUAACAAGGUAACCGUAAGGGC
Molecule: ribosomal RNA, 596 nt
Filed under: uncultured bacterium
Lineage: Bacteria
Description: bacterial SSU rRNA
Rfam family: Bacterial small subunit ribosomal RNA
Source: RNAcentral